This 320-nucleotide ribosomal RNA is filed under the name uncultured bacterium. RNAcentral's name for it is "bacterial SSU rRNA". It matches the Rfam family "Bacterial small subunit ribosomal RNA", at positions 28 to 329 of the family's 1533-position model. The record is from RNAcentral.
GACGAACGCUGGCGGCGUGCUUAACACAUGCAAGUCGAACGAGAAGAGAUGAGAAGCUUGCUUCUUAUCAAUUCGAGUGGCAAACGGGUGAGUAACGCGUAAGCAACCUGCCCUUCAGAUGGGGACAACAGCUGGAAACGGCUGCUAAUACCGAAUACGUCUUUUGCGCAUGGCAGAGAGAAGAAAGGGAGGCUCUUCGGAGCUUUCGCUGAAGGAGGGGCUUGCGUCUGAUUAGCUAGUUGAGGGUAACGGCCCACCAAGGCGACGAUCGAGUAGCCGGUCUGAGAGGAUGAACGGCCACAAUUGGGACUGAGACACGG